Molecule: microRNA, 19 nt
Filed under: Callorhinchus milii (elephant shark)
Lineage: Eukaryota; Metazoa; Chordata; Chondrichthyes; Chimaeriformes; Callorhinchidae
Description: eshark_NOVEL_205
Source: RNAcentral
CCUCUCUGAUGGCUAAUUC